This 474-nucleotide ribosomal RNA is filed under the name Triticum aestivum (bread wheat). RNAcentral's name for it is "partial small subunit ribosomal RNA". The record is from RNAcentral. Lineage: Eukaryota; Viridiplantae; Streptophyta; Magnoliopsida; Poales; Poaceae.
AUGUUGUUACUAGUGGACUCCGGGAGCUCUCACACAUUCAUUGACAGGCAAUUAGCAGACAAACUGAAACACAAAGCCACUAUGCUUGAUAAGGCCCUACAAGUCAAAGUAGCAAAUGGGGAGCAGCUUCAGUGUGAAACUGAGAUGGUGGGCUUACCCUGGUGGAUUAAUGGACACACCUUCACUUCUGAUAUGAAGGUGGUGGACUUGGGAGGGUAUGAUGCUAUUCUAGGAAUGGAUUGGUUGGCCCAGUGGGGAUCUAUGGUCUGUCAUUGGGAAGAGAAGUGGCUACAGUUUGACAGAAAUGGACAACAGAUCAGGUUGCAGGGCAUUGUGGAGAAACAACAAACUGAGAUUCAAGCUAUCACUGUGGAACAAAUGCUCAAAUGGCAAAAAGGGAAUGAUAUUUGGGCUACUGCAGUUGUCUCUCCAACUUUGCACACCGAGAAUCAUGAAGUGCCAGCCUGCAUUUCA